RNAcentral lists this ribosomal RNA (1010 nucleotides) under Fructobacillus fructosus. RNAcentral describes it as "bacterial SSU rRNA". It matches the Rfam family "Bacterial small subunit ribosomal RNA", at positions 57 to 1056 of the family's 1533-position model. The record is from RNAcentral. Lineage: Bacteria; Bacillati; Bacillota; Bacilli; Lactobacillales; Lactobacillaceae.
GCAAGGUACCGAACAGCGGAAAGUGCUGCACUCAAGUAAGGGCGAACGGGUGAGUAACACGUGAAUAACCUACCUCAAAGUCUGGGAUAACCAUGGAAACAGUGACUAAUACCGGAUAAAACCCAAGUGCACAUGCACUAAGGUUAAAAGCUGCGUUUGCAGCGCUUUAAGAUGGAUUCGCGGUGCAUUAGUUAGUUGGUGAGGUAAAGGCUCACCAAGACGAUGAUGCAUAGCCGAGUUGAGAGACUGACCGGCCACAUUGGGACUGAGACACGGCCCAAACUCCUACGGGAGGCUGCAGUAGGGAAUCUUCCACAAUGGGCGCAAGCCUGAUGGAGCAACGCCGCGUGUGUGAUGAAGGCUUUCGGGUCGUAAAGCACUGUUGUAUGGGAAGAACGGGUUUAAGAGGAAAUGCUUAGACAGUGACGGUACCAUACCAGAAAGGGACGGCUAAAUACGUGCCAGCAGCCGCGGUAAUACGUAUGUCCCGAGCGUUAUCCGGAUUUAUUGGGCGUAAAGCGAGCGCAGACGGUUGCUUAAGUCUGAAGUGAAAGCCCACAGCUCAACUGUGGAAUGGCUUUGGAAACUGGGCAACUUGAGUGCAGUAGAGGUAAGUGGAACUCCAUGUGUAGCGGUGGAAUGCGUAGAUAUAUGGAAGAACACCAGUGGCGAAGGCGGCUUACUGGACUGCAACUGACGUUGAGGCUCGAAAGUGUGGGUAGCAAACAGGAUUAGAUACCCUGGUAGUCCACACCGUAAACGAUGGAUACUAGUUGUUAGAGGGUUUCCGCCCUUUAGUGACGAAGCAAACGCAUUAAGUAUCCCGCCUGGGGAGUACGACCGCAAGGUUGAAACUCAAAGGAAUUGACGGGGACCCGCACAAGCGGUGGAGCAUGUGGUUUAAUUCGAAGCAACGCGAAGAACCUUACCAGGUCUUGACAUCCUUUGAAGGUACUAGAUAGUACUGUCUUCUUCGGAAGCAAAGUGACAGGUGGUGCAUGGCCCUCCUC